UAAUACGAUCGAAUCGAUAAUCGAAGGAAACGAAUUAACAUCAAUUAGAAGGGAACUUUACAAGUUUAACCGAAUCGAUAGGAGCCACUCCUUGAGCUGAAGCACAUCAUUCUAUGGCGAACGUACGAAUCGCGCGAUACGACCGUUUUCCAAUCGGUGUAAUCGGUUUAAUCAUUUACGCGGCGCUGUACUACACUCUACUUAAUUCUAUGCGAGUCCUUGAAGUCCGGCCGUGGCACGGCCCCUAAUUCAACGUAUAAAUCUCUCUCACCUGUUAUUUAUUAUUAUCAUGAAUAUGCAUUUCUUUCACCGCUUGCUAAUGGAUGCGGGGCCCACGGCGUGUUGGAAGUGUUGCGCGCAACAGCGUGCAGUUAAACGGAUUUGAUUAAUCGAGAAACUUGAUCGAGAAUCUCUCUCUCUCUCUCUCUCUCUCUCUCUCUCUCUCUCUCUCUCUCUCUCGCCGAUUCAUUAUAUUUUCUUUUCAUAUUAACUAUUUAUGUCGUAGGAUGCAAAAAAUUGUUUCGUCAAACUGUUUGAAACGGAGGAAUACACACUUUCAAUACAAUGGAAAUCAGGAAUAAGAGGAUAAGAAGAUAUUUCCUGAGAUAUUGAUAAAUAAAAUUAUGGAUAUUUGAGGACGGUUGUUCAAGCGUUGGAGAGACAUCUAUCAUUUCACGAUCCAUUAAAAAUUUAACGCGAGAAAAGGUGGCUUGAUUUUUAAUAAAAAUCCGUGAAAAUGCCAUCGAUCUUUCGUGGAUUACAGAGAUACACGUGAGAAGGGAAAUUACAUAAUAUCUUUUAAACUUUUGCACCGACGCUUGAUCAAUUAUCAAACGGAUUUUACGAAUAAAAAUGGAUGGACAAUAAUUAAUUGAAUAGAACAGGAUAUUUAUAUUGUUAAUAUUAUUCCAAUUACACGGAAUUCCGUGUACACUCGAGGAAAUUCAAACAAGAGAUAUAGAUAGAGAUAUAGCAUUGCACUUGAGAAUUGAAUCGUUGACAAAUAAGUUUUCGUAGAUUCUGUUUGAAAGAGAUAACCCGUAUCAAUUGAUAUAGCAAUAUCAACUUCACGAUUGGCAUGAAUUAGAUUACGUUCUGUUUCUGUUGGUUUACAUUCUGUUUUAUCGGUACAGUUCGCACAGUUUGUACAGUGUCGUUGGUGUUGUUAUUAUGGGUAAUCUUUCGACUCGCUUUACGAAUUUUUUCUCGACCAAUCAUAUCCUCGACGAGGAGACGAUCGCCACUUACGUGGAGUUAACGUAUUUGAACAAGAAUGAAGUACGUCGCGUGAUCAAUCUGCUCGACAAUGUGAAUCCUGGAAAACUUCGUCAGAAUCCCCAUCAUCGGUUCACCAUCGAGGAGAUAGAGACAAUAUUGCCCCAACUUCGAUGCAGUCCAUUUCGUGAUUCCAUAUAUCGAGUAUUCUCUUCGAAGAAAGAUGGACGAUUGAGCUUGGAAGACGUUCUGGAUUUGUGCUCGGCCUUCUCCGAAUAUUGCCCCGACAACGUUCGCGCCACUUGGGCGUUUUACGUGUUUGAUUUGAACGGCGACGGUGAAAUCUCAUCGAACGAUUUAAUCGAAACUGUGCAGAGGCUGAUGUGGCCCCACCAGAACGAGUGCAUCGAUACGGCCGAGGCGGAACACGUCGCGCGAAUAUCUCUGCGCGUAUGGACUUAACCUCAAACUCGUCGAUACCACCACGUGUAAAUAAAAUCGUUUAAAACAGAAGAAAAUUCGCGAAGAAAAAGGAUGGAUAAAAGAAUAAUAUUCACGUUCGUUCACGUUUAAGAAAAGAUCGUAUCGAGUGAUGUGAACGACAACAUGGAAUUUCUGAAAAUUAUAUUUAUAACCUAAAGUUAUAUUUUCGGAUCGUGACUCGAUGAAUUAUAUAUCGUUGGAAUUUCGAUAGAGCCGAUUGAUGCAUAUGAAAUUUCAUCCAACAACGCUGCGCUGAACAUUAAAGAAGCUAAUUAAAUCUGAUACUUCAAGAGAUGGUGUUCAAUCGACAGGGAAGCAUUUCCUGCGAAGAAUUUAUACGUUUCUCCUCGAGAAUUUCAGAAUUCUGGUCAUCGUUUCGCUUUAAAAUUUAAUUACGCUUACAUCACGG
Apis mellifera (honey bee) is the source of this 2107-nucleotide RNA transcript. It is a transcript of the gene named calcium and integrin-binding protein 1, with no coding region annotated. NCBI's taxonomy places the organism in Eukaryota, Metazoa, Arthropoda, Insecta, Hymenoptera, Apidae. The transcript is spliced from 7 exons. The record is from RefSeq and is a predicted model, not a curated record.